RNAcentral lists this ribosomal RNA (274 nucleotides) under uncultured bacterium. RNAcentral describes it as "partial 16S ribosomal RNA". It matches the Rfam family "Bacterial small subunit ribosomal RNA", at positions 523 to 796 of the family's 1533-position model. The record is from RNAcentral.
AUACGGAGGGUGCAAGCGUUAAUCGGAAUUACUGGGCGUAAAGCGUACGUAGGCGGUCCGUUAAGUUAGAUGUGAAAGCCCCGGGCUUAACCUGGGAACUGCAUUUAAAACUGGCGGACUAGAGUUGAGUAGAGGGGAGUGGAAUUUCAGGUGUAGCGGUGAAAUGCGUAGAGAUCUGAAGGAACACCAGUGGCGAAGGCGACUCCCUGGACUCGAACUGACGCUGAGGUACGAAAGCGUGGGUAGCAAACGGGAUUAGAAACCCGAGUAGUCC